CCGGGCUGGAGUGCAGUGGUGCAAUCUCAGCUCACUGCAACCUCUGCCUUCCGGGUUCAAGCGAUUCUCCUACCUCAGCCUCCUAAGUAGCUGGGAUUAUAGGCACGCGUCACCACACCCGGCUAAUUUUUUGUAUUUUUAGUAGAGAAGGGGUUUCGCCAUGUUGGCCAGCCUGGUCUUGAACUCCUGACCUCGGGUGAUGCACCCGCCUUGGCCUCCCGAAGUGCUGGGAUUACAGGCAUGAGCCACCUCGCCCGACCCCUGCUAGGCUUCUUGCAGGGUCCACUGGGGACACUGACUGGAAGGAAAAAAAUGACUUUUCCCUUUUGGAUAGAAUUUUAACAGAAUAAAUAAAAGGGAAGAAUUUUGCAAAGAGCAGACCCCCAAUAAAUUUUGCUGAAAGAAUGAAUGAUUUGGAAACGUAUUGGGAAGAGUGCUGCUGGGUCCUUUGGAACAGCCCCUGGGCUUUUAAUAAUUGAUUUCAGCAAACUAAUGUGAGUUUCCCUGGGGUUGAUGCCGGGGUUCGCAGGGCUCUCAGCUCAAGGACAAGGAGGAACACUUCCACUGUGUCCCCGCAGGCUGAAGGAGGCUGUUCACUCCUUUUUCUCAGGAAGCCCAGCUGUUGAAACGGAUCAGCACAUCUCCCUUGCUCUCUCCCCAUGCACACUGACAUGGUUUUCAGAUCCUAGGGUUGGGGGUCUUCUUUAUUUUAUUAUUUUUAUUAUCUUUUUUUAUAUUUUUUAUUUUUUCUGAGACAGUGUCUUGCUCUGUCGCCCAGGUUGGAGUGCAGUGGUGCGAUCUCGGCUCACUGCAAGCUCCGCCUCCUGGGUUCACACCAUUCUGCCUCAGGCUCCUGAGUAGCUGGGACUACAGGCGCCCACCACCACGCCCGGCUAAUGUUUUGUAUUUUUAGUAGAGAUGAGGUUUCACCGUGUUAGCCAGGAUGGUCUCGAUCUCCUGACCUCAUGAUCCGCCUGCCUCAGCCUCCCAAAGUGCUGGGAUUACAGGCGUGAGCCACCAUGCCCAGCGGGGGUCUUCUUUAAAUAACAGCCUUUCCUCUGGCCCUUUGGUCUGUGAUCUGACUGACCGCCUGUGUCCUGGUCUGAGGAACACCAGCUCCUACAACUGACAACCACAAAGGGAUGCUUCACUUUUUCCCCGUGGGUCUCUGGCAGGGUCUCACUCUGAGCUACAACGUUUUCUUUCCUUCACUCAGCAAAUGUUUUCUGAAGGCCUGCUUUGUGCCAGAUUCUGGGGUGCAGGGAUGAGCAACGACGCAUUGUCCCCAUAGCACACUGAUCUCAGGUGCUUUCUUCCUCAAGUAAACCAUAUACCCUUGCUGGAGGUGACUUGGGGGGCCAUCCCUCAGCAGAAGCCAGACUCCCCACUCUACCCCAUUCCAAACCUUCCCCUCAGAUCCACAAAAGUUACUCAACUUCAGUCACCCUCUGCAGACUCAGAUUUAGUACAAAUGACUGGCUUUUGCAAUAGUGUGGGAAGAGCUGCGACAGGAGCAUACAGAAGCUCUGGGAACCCACAGGGAAGGGCAGCUGAACCAGCCUGGGGAGAAUAGGGAAGCCUUCCUGGAGGAGGGGAUGCCUGAAUAGAGGCCCAAGGAAUGGCUAUGAUUCGGCAAAGACAAAGGAUGAGUGCAUUAGUCAGGGUCCUAAAAGGGAACAGGCCCCCUUAAGUUAGGAUGAUUUGAGGAGGGUUUAUGCACAAAGAGGUUAUUUGCAAAGAUUUGGGCAGAGUGUGGGAGAACAACACAAGACAGUACAGAAACUCAGGGCCAGCGGCAGCAGAGCUGUUUCCACCCCUAGGCCAGAAGACAUGGGAGAGGGGCAGCCUGUACCCUGGAAAGAGGGAGAGUCGUGUCAUUCAGGUCACCUUCCCUCUAGGGAAUCAGCCAGCCUGAUGCAACCUUACAAGGAGGGAAUCGAUUGCCUUGACCUCAUUCUUUGCUGUCUUCCAAACUCUUGCUGGGGGUCCCCAUUGGCCAAACCCAACCAGGAGCCAGAGGGCACUGGAGCUGAUUAAUGUGAUCUAUACAGGGCAGACUUUGGGGCACAGAGCAGGCUGGAGAGUGGAUCUGGCAUGGUAAGCAGAAGAUAUCCAGCAUGCUGGGUCAGGGAAGGCCUUUCUAAGAAGAGGAGAACCAUUUGUGAGGCCCAGAGGUAUGCAAGAAUGUGUAAGUUGGGGAAAUGUUUUCUUUAUGUCUGGAUUAGAGUGAGUAGGAAUGGGGGCGUCCAUCAUGAAAGGCCUUGCAUGUCUUUCUAAGGAAUGUGAAAAUUUAUCCCAAAGGCGAUGGGAGCCACUGAAGGGUUUUUGGCAGGAGGUGACGUGAUCAGAUUUGUGUUCUGAAAUGACCACUCUUGCCCUAGUGUGGACGUGGUCUGGAGGAACACUUCAGACCAGAGAUGGUGAGGCCUGAACCAAGACAAUGGUGGUGGAGAAAGAGGUGGAUUGAUGUGAGAAACGUUGAGGAAGUAGUCUCGAAAGGCGAUGACGGAUCGGAAGUGGAGGAUGAAGGAAAGGGAGGCGUCGACAGCAGUGUCUGGGGUUCCACUUGAAGCUCAGGCUGGGGAGGGAGCGUGAGGGAGCAGUUUGCCUGCCCAGCUGUUGCUUCCUCGGCUUUGCUUUCUGGAUUUGGAAGAAAGCUUAGAUUGGCCCUCAUUAGCAGGACCUCAGGCUUUCAAAGGGGCCUUGGAGGGGCUUCCUAGCCAUUACACAGGUUGGCCUCCCUUGGUUGUCUCAAGAGCAUGCCAAACUAGAGAGCAGGCAAAGUCACCUUUUGCUGCCACCCUGGGACCUACUGAGCCGGGACCUGCUCCUCUCCCACCCCCUGCCCCUUCGCAUAUGGACAGGGGAUGUGUUUUCUUUUAACUUGCUUCAUUGCAGGAGCAAAUGAGGUCCAGCUGAGGGGAGGGAACCAGCCAUGGCGACAGAGCACAGGCUGUGUGAGCUGGGGCGAGAGUGGGGGCUCUGUCACCCUCAGUUUCCUUCCACUGGCUUUUCAGAAAGCUCUGGUCCCCGUAGGCUCAGAUUUCAUCCCUAGCAAUUCUGAAGAACCUGCUCUCCAGUAACAGGUCCCACUCCUUGGAGUUCUUUGCCUAGAAACCUGGAAUAAUUUUCUUUUGUUGCAGAAGAAAAUGCUGAGGUUGUUCUUUCAUGGCCUAAGAACUUGAGUAGUCAUGGCAACGCAUGAGGGUGGGGUGGGUGAGGUGGGGGCGUCUUAGCAGUGUUUCGUUUCAAAUGCCAGAUUAAAGGAAAAGCGUCUUUGGAGUUCGCCUCGUUAAGACAUAGCUCAGUGCAGGCUUGUUGGAUGGUUCUCCAGCUCAUCAUUUUACACAUUGCAUUUUCCCUACAUUUCCUCGCCUGACGGGCAGUCUUCUGGGAUUUCUCCCUGAGAAUUUUGGCUCCAAGACUUCUCCAAGAAUUUCAGCUCAUUUCUGGCAAGAGCGUUGGUGGGGGUGACUCGUGUUCCUGUUGAGGACCGUGUCUUGUGAGUCCUUUGCUUCCAAUGGGACUGCCACUUUCAAAAACCAAAGGUAACAUGUUUAUUGAGGGUUUGUUCUGGCUACAAAAAGAAAGAUGGCGAUUGAGCAGCCAUUUCCUUUUCACACUACACUUUUGGUCCAGGAUCUUUCUCUCAGAGUUUGGCCAGGUCAAGCCCAACGCUGGCUCUGGGGAUCUAGGCCAUCCUUCCGACUGCCCUUCCGGGGCGCGUCUUGGAGAAAAUAAAGGUGGAAACAUUUAACCUAGACACUGGCUGCAAGUGCUUUCUUCCUCACCUGAACCUUAUCCCCGUGCUAGAGCUGACCUGGGGGUCCUCCCUCUUGAGGAGCUAGACUCCCCACCCUGCGCCAGUCCAAACCUCUCCUAUACCUGCAAAAGAUACUCAACACGUUAGAGUUGCCCAGUUACCAACUAAAAUAUUUCCCAAGUCUUCAUUUAUGCUUUCCAGUGAUCUCCUAGAUUCUCCUUGUGAUUAAUGUUCUUAUUAACCAUAGCCCCCAUGUGCUGAACACUUACUAAGAGGCCAGAUUUCUAUUUAUCGCCUAAUUGACUAGUCACCAACAACCCCGUGAGGCAGGUACUAGCAGUCGCAUCUUACAGAGGAGGAAACUGAAGGCCCCCCAAGCUAACUUGUCCAGAACCAAAUAGCUGGUAAGAGGUAGAGCUGCGAUGACGUGGGAUCUGUCUGGUAACACACAGUGCCCUCUCCACCAGGCGACACAGCCUGCAUCCUCAGCCACUUUCACCCCCUCUCACCUGAUCACAGCACACAUUCCCGCCUGCACGAGCCCCGCCUCAUUCCAGCCAGAAUGUGGUCACUGAACCAUCUCCCCAAAGUUCCCCUUUCAUUCUUUCUUUCUUUUUUUUUCCUUUUGAGAUGGAGUCUCACUCUGUCCCCCGGGCUGGAGUGCAGUGGCUUGAUCUUGGCUCACUGCAACCUCUGCCUCCUGGCUUCAAGUGGUUCUCCUGCCUCAGCCUCCCCAGUAGCUGGGACUACAGGUGCAUGCCACCAUGCCCGGCUAACUUUUGUAUUUUUAGUGGAGAUGGGGUUUCACCAUGUUGGUCCAGGCUAGUCUCAAACCGCUGACCUCAAGUGAUCUGCCUGCCUUGGUUUCCCAAAGUGCUGGGAUUACAGGCGUGAGCCACCGUGCCCAGCCCCAAAGCUCCCCUUUCAUUGCUCCCAUGCUAGGCUCCCCUGCUGGGCUCAGUUUUGAGGGUACAGAGACCAUGACAGUCUUGUUCACCCUGGUAUCUAUAGGGCUUGACCUGUAGAAAGUGCACAAGUAAUUACUUACUUACAGAGCCAAUGGAAAUAUCUUUCUUCCACCAGCGCCGCCACCCCCGCCCCCACAUCCCCCUUAUUCUUUCUCUUCUCCUUUCCCGGCUACAGCCGCAACCUGUCUCCAUCAGAUGUGGCUUACCUGGUUCCUGAGUCAAUUCCAUCCAGGUAGGAGGAAUCCUAUCAGAACGCAUGUGGGUGCGUUUGCAGAGUACAUUCCUAUGGAGCCCCCUUAGCUCUGGCUGCAUCUGCGUCUGCAGGGAGAAAGGAUCCCUGCUGUGAGAGGUCUGGGAUCUGGAGUACAGAGGAUGGUGAAGCCAAGGCCUGAAGACCUUUCCUGCAAGGUCACAGAAGAGGCAGAAGAAGGACCAGAACCCAGCUCCCCUGACUCCCCAUCCAGUGCUCUUCUCAUAGAUUACAUUGCUUCAGCAUCCACCCGGCUAUUGCUCCAUUCAGGAGUUACAGGAGUCACUGAGUGUUUUGGCUGCUUCUUGGUUGGAGGAUGUUGUACCUCACCGAUGAGGGCCGGAAGCAAAGGUACCAGUUCUUAGAGGAAGCAUAGGAAUGUGUCCCUUCCUGCUCGGGUCUCUCAACUGAACGCAACCCUUCCUUGAUUGAUUGACAAGCAUGUUAUCUCUUGUAAUCCCUGCC
Molecule: long non-coding RNA, 5446 nt
Organism: Symphalangus syndactylus (siamang)
Lineage: Eukaryota; Metazoa; Chordata; Mammalia; Primates; Hylobatidae
Source: RefSeq, a predicted model, not a curated record